CCAAUAGCGUAUAUUAAAGUUGUUGCAGUUAAAAAGCUCGUAGUUGAAUUUCGGAAUUUGUCGGUUGGUCGGGCUUCACUGUCCGCACUGACCUGAUGGAUUCCUACCUUCUGAAUAACCAGCAUGCUAUUAAGUUAGUGCGUUGGGGAAGCAGAGCUAUUACCUUGAAAAAAUUAGAGUGCCUAAAGCAGGCUUGUGCUUGAAUAGAUUAGCAUGGAAUAAUAAAAUAGGACGGCAUGGUUCUAUUUUGUUGGUUUCUAGGAUCACCGUAAUGAUUAAUAGGGAUAGUUGGGGGCAUUAGUAUUCAAUUGUCAGAGGUGAAAUUCUUGGAUUUAUUGAAGACUAACUUCUGCGAAAGCAUUUGCCAAGGAUGUUUUCAUUAAUCAAGAACGAAAGUUAGGGGAUCGAAGACGAUCAGAUACCGUCGUAGUCUUAACCAUAAACUAUGCCGACUAGGGAUCGGACGAUGUUAAUUUUUUAAUGACUCGUUCGGCGCCUUACG
Molecule: ribosomal RNA, 502 nt
Filed under: uncultured Glomeromycotina
Lineage: Eukaryota; Fungi; Glomeromycota
Description: partial small subunit ribosomal RNA
Rfam family: Eukaryotic small subunit ribosomal RNA
Source: RNAcentral